CGGUGGAUGAUGUGGUAUUAAUUCGAUGACAACGACGAAAACCUUACCUACCCUUGACAUGUCUGGAAUCCCGAAGAGAUUUGGGAGUGCUCGCAAGAGAACCGGAACACAGGUGCUGCAUGGCUGUCGUCAGCUCGUGUCGUGAGAUGUUGGGUUAAGUCCCGCAACGAGCGCAACCCUUGUCAUUAGUUGCUACGAAAGGGCACUCUAAUGAGACUGCCGGUGACAAACCGGAGGAAGGUGGGGAUGACGUCAAGUCCUCAUGGCCCUUAUGGGUAGGGCUUCACACGUCAUACAAUGGUCGGGACAGAGGGUCGCCAACCCGCGAGGGGGAGCCAAUCCCAGAAACCCGAUCGUAGUCCGGAUUGUAGUCUGCAACUCGACUACAUGAAGUCGGAAUCGCUAGUAAUCGCGGGUCAGCAGACCGCGGUGAAUACGUUCCCGGGUUUU
This 450-nucleotide ribosomal RNA is filed under the name uncultured Bordetella sp. RNAcentral's name for it is "bacterial SSU rRNA". It matches the Rfam family "Bacterial small subunit ribosomal RNA", at positions 930 to 1382 of the family's 1533-position model. Lineage: Bacteria; Pseudomonadati; Pseudomonadota; Betaproteobacteria; Burkholderiales; Alcaligenaceae. The record is from RNAcentral.